AACGAACGCUGGCGGCAUGCCUAACACAUGCAAGUCGAACGAGACCUUCGGGUCUAGUGGCGCACGGGUGCGUAACGCGUGGGAACCUGCCCUUAGGUUCGGAAUAACUCCCCGAAAGGGGUGCUAAUACCGGAUAAUGUCUUCGGACCAAAGAUUUAUCGCCUUUGGAUGGGCCCGCGUUGGAUUAGCUAGUUGGUAGGGUAAAAGCCUACCAAGGCGACGAUCCAUAGCUGGUCUGAGAGGAUGAUCAGCCACACUGGGACUGAGACACGGCCCAGACUCCUACGGGGGGCAGCAGUGGGAAAUAUUGGAAAAGGGGCGAAAGCCUGACCCAGCAAUGCCGGGGGGGGGAUGAGGGCCUUGGGUUUGAAAAGCUUUUUUCCCCGGGAUGAAAAUGACGGACCCGGGAGAAUAAGCCCCGGCAAACCCCG
Molecule: ribosomal RNA, 431 nt
Filed under: uncultured bacterium
Lineage: Bacteria
Description: partial 16S ribosomal RNA
Rfam family: Bacterial small subunit ribosomal RNA
Source: RNAcentral